RNAcentral lists this ribosomal RNA (301 nucleotides) under uncultured bacterium. RNAcentral's name for it is "partial 16S ribosomal RNA". It matches the Rfam family "Bacterial small subunit ribosomal RNA", at positions 509 to 807 of the family's 1533-position model. The record is from RNAcentral.
CAGUCGCCGCGGUAAUACGUAGGGUGCGAGCGUUAAUCGGAAUUACUGGGCGUAAAGCGUGCGCAGGCGGUUGUGUAAGACAGGUGUGAAAUCCCCGGGCUUAACCUGGGAACUGCGCUUGUGACUGCACAGCUAGAGUAUGGCAGAGGGGGGUGGAAUUCCACGUGUAGCAGUGAGAUGCGUAGAGAUGUGGAGGAACACCGAUGGCGAAGGCAGCCCCCUGGGCCCAUACUGACGCUCAUGCACGAAAGCGUGGGGAGCGAACAGGAUUAGAUACCCCUGUAGUCCCUGUCUCUUAUAC